This 455-nucleotide ribosomal RNA is filed under the name uncultured bacterium. Its description in RNAcentral is "bacterial SSU rRNA". It matches the Rfam family "Bacterial small subunit ribosomal RNA", at positions 29 to 507 of the family's 1533-position model. The record is from RNAcentral.
AACGAACGCUGGCGGCAGGCCUAAUACAUGCAAGUCGAGCGCUCUAGCAAUAGAGAGCGGCGCACGGGUGCGUAACGCGUGGGAAUGUACCUCUAGGUGCGGAACAACGUCGGGAAACUGACGCUAAUACCGCAUAAUAUCUCCGGAUCAAAGAUUUAUCGCCUAGGGAUCAGCCCGCGUUGGAUUAGUUAGUUGGAGUGGUAACGGCACCCCAAGACAGCGAUAGAUAGGGGCCCUGAGAGGGGGAUCCCCCACACUGGUACUGAGACACGGACCAGACUCCUACGAGAGGCAGCAGUGAGGAAUAUUGGACAAUGGGCGAGAGCCUGAUCCAGCCAUGCCGCGUGCAGGAAGACGGCCCUAUGGGUUGUAAAACUGCUUUUUGUACGGGAAGAAACACCCCCUCGUGAGGGGGCUUGACGGUACCGUAAGAAUAAGGAUCGGCUAACUCCGUG